Molecule: ribosomal RNA, 417 nt
Filed under: uncultured bacterium
Lineage: Bacteria
Description: bacterial SSU rRNA
Rfam family: Bacterial small subunit ribosomal RNA
Source: RNAcentral
CUGGUGGCGAGUGCGAACGGGUGAGUAAUACAUCGGAACGUACCCAGAAGUGGGGGAUAACGUAGCGAAAGUUACGCUAAUACCGCAUACGUUCUACGGAAGAAAGUGGGGGAUCGCAAGACCUCAUGCUUUUGGAGCGGCCGAUGUCUGAUUAGCUAGUUGGUGAGGUAAAGGCUCACCAAGGCGACGAUCAGUAGCUGGUCUGAGAGGACGACCAGCCACACUGGAACUGAGACACGGUCCAGACUCCUACGGGAGGCAGCAGUGGGGAAUUUUGGACAAUGGGCGCAAGCCUGAUCCAGCAAUGCCGCGUGAGUGAGGAAGGCCUUCGGGUUGUAAAGCUCUUUUGUCAGGGAAGAAACGGCAGGGGCUAAUAUCCUUUGCUAAUGACGGUACCUGAAGAAUAAGCACCGGCUA